RNAcentral lists this ribosomal RNA (462 nucleotides) under uncultured bacterium. Its description in RNAcentral is "bacterial SSU rRNA". It matches the Rfam family "Bacterial small subunit ribosomal RNA", at positions 337 to 796 of the family's 1533-position model. The record is from RNAcentral.
UCCUACGGGAGGCAGCAGUGAGGAAUAUUGGUCAAUGGUCGGGAGACUGAACCAGCCAAGUAGCGUGAAGGAUGACGGCCCUACGGGUUGUAAACUUCUUUUCCGCGGGAUUAAAGUGCGCCACGUGUGGUGUUUUGCAGGUACCGCGGGAAUAAGCACCGGCUAAUUCCGUGCCAGCAGCCGCGGUAAUACGGAAGGUGCGAGCGUUAUCCGGAUUUAUUGGGUUUAAAGGGAGCGUAGGCGGGAUGCCAAGUCAGCUGUGAAAAGCCGCGGCUCAACCGUGGUCCUGCAGUUGAAACUGGCGUUCUUGAGUGCACUAGAGGGCGGUGGAAUUUGUGGUGUAGCGGUGAAAUGCUUAGAUAUCACGAGGAACUCCGAUUGCGAAGGCAGCCGCCUGGAAUGCAACUGACGCUGAGGCUCGAAGGUGCGGGUAUCAAACAGGAUUAGAUACCCUGGUAGUCC